RNAcentral lists this long non-coding RNA (302 nucleotides) under Setaria viridis. Its description in RNAcentral is "long non-coding RNA (SVIR_LNC000323)". The record is from RNAcentral. Lineage: Eukaryota; Viridiplantae; Streptophyta; Magnoliopsida; Poales; Poaceae.
GAAGGUCCAUGUGUAGGUGAAUUUAUUUGGAUGCCCCGUGCUGCAAUGUCUAGCGUGACUUGGUGCUGAGUAAUCCUGUUCAUUCCAAAAAUUAUAUCCACGCCUUCCAGUCCCAAAAUAAUAAGGUCGGUUUGGAAAACUUUUCUAUCCAACUUGAGUGGCACACGACGUGUUAUUUGGUCGGAAGCAAUUUUACCACCAGGUGUUGAAAUCAUGUAAGUCCCUUUUGUGUGACAGAAUCCAAUCCACAUUUAGCACUGAAUUUUGUCCCAAUAAAGCUAUGCAAUGCACCAGAAUCAAAU